Molecule: long non-coding RNA, 260 nt
Filed under: Brassica rapa (field mustard)
Lineage: Eukaryota; Viridiplantae; Streptophyta; Magnoliopsida; Brassicales; Brassicaceae
Description: long non-coding RNA (BRAP_LNC003985)
Source: RNAcentral
AAUAAGUGAAAUAUUUGUUUAAUAACAAUAAUUAACAUAACAGCUUGACCAGGUCCAAACCUAUAACAAACAAAAUAACAGCUUCACCAAAUACGUAGUUUAUUGCACAAUACAUACAACAACGCGUAAUUAUUUUUCUUCAUAAAUGUAUUCCAUAAUCCUAAAAAUAUUCGAUUCAUAGAAGAUAGACAAAUUAUGAGCGCGGAAACUUGACUAGCAUCAAAAAGUUAAAACGCGGAAAGAUCCACGGUGGGCUUGAC